Molecule: long non-coding RNA, 2879 nt
Filed under: Homo sapiens (human)
Lineage: Eukaryota; Metazoa; Chordata; Mammalia; Primates; Hominidae
Description: non-protein coding LINC00342:5
Source: RNAcentral
AUGAUUGAAAUAAACACAAUUAGAAAUGACAAAGGGAAUGUAAUUACCACUGACCCCACAGAAAUAGAAACAACCAUCAGAAACUACUGCAAACACUUCUGUGCAUACAAACUAGAAAACUUCAAAGAGAUGGAUAAAUUCCUGGACAAAUACACCCUCCCACAACUGAGCCAGGAAGAAAUUGAUUUGCUGAACAGACCAAUAACAAGCUCCGAAAUUGAAUCAGUAAUAAAUAACCUACCAAUCAAAAAAAGCCCAGAACAUGAUGGAUUCCCAGCCAUAUUCUACUAGAAGUACAAAGAAGAGCUGGUACCAUUUUUACAGGAACUAUUUGAAAAUAUUGAGGAGGAGGAACUCCUCCCCAACUCAUUCUAUGAGGCCAACAUCAUCUUGAUACCAAAAUCUGGCACACACACACACACACACACACACACACACACACACACACAAACUUCAGGCCAAUACCCUUGAUGAACAUCAAUGCAAAAAUCCUCAACAAAAUACGGGCAAACCAAAUCCAGCAGCACAUCAAAAAGUUAAUCCAUCAUGAUCAAGUAUGCUUCAUCCCCAGGAUGCAAGGUUGCCUCAACAUACACGUCAAUUAAUCUGAUUCAUCCCAUAAACAAAACUAAAGAUAAAAACCAUGUGAUUAUCUCAAUAUAUGCAGAAAAGGCUUUCAAUAAAAUUCAAGGCCUCUCCAUAUUAAAAACUCUAAAAAAUCUGGGUAUUGAGGAAACAUAGCUCAAAGUGAUGAGCUGUUUUUGUACCAGUAUCAUGCUGUUUUGGUUACUGUAGCCCUGUAGUAUAGUUUGAAGUUGGGUAACAUGAUGCCUCCAGCUUUGUUCUUUUUGCUGAGGAUUGCUUGGCUAUUAGGGCUCUUUUUUUUUUUGGUUCCAUAUGAAUUUUGAAAUAGUUUGCUCUAGUUCUGUGAGGAAUGCCAUUGGUAAUUUAAUAGGGAUAACUUGCAUCUGUAAAUUACUUUGGGCAGUAUAGCCAUUUUAAUGAUGUUAAUUCUUCCUAUCCAUGAGCAUGAAAUGUUUUUCCAUUUGUUUGUGUCUUCUCUGAUUUCUUUGAGCAGUGUUUUGUAAUUCUCCUAGAGAUCUCUUAGAGAUCUUUCACCUCCCUGGUUAGCUGUAUUCCUAGGUAUUUUAUUUUUUCUGUGUGUAGCAAUUAUGAAUGGGAUUAUGUUCUUCAUUUGACUCUCUGCUUUACUGCUAGGAAUUUUUGCACAUUGAUUUUGUAUGCUAAGACUUUGCUAAAGUUUAUCAGCAGAAGGAGCUUUGGGGCUAAGACUAUGGGGUUUUCUAGAUAUAGAAUCAUGUCAUCUGUAAACAGAGACAGUUUGACUUCCUGUCUAUUCCUCUCUUCCCUCCUCUAUUUGGAUGCCCUUCCAGUUUUGCACAUUCAGUGUAAUGUUGGCUGUGGGUUUGCCAUGGCUAGCUCUCAUCAUUUUGGCACUUCCGACUAGAAGUGCGAGAGGGGCCAGUGUUGUUGUUACCUGAAAGGUAAGUGCAGCCCACAAAAAUGCAGUGAAGAAGAAGAUAUAUGCAUAUGUUUAAGUUAAUACAAUUGAGAUACAUUUAGCAGACAGAAUCAAUAGAGUUGAUGAGUGACUGACUGGAUGUGUGGGGAGUUUAUAUCACUCCCAGGUUUUUGACUUGGGCAACCGGGCACUCAAGAAGGAAAAAGAGGAUCCAGGGAGAGGAACUUUUCUGAGGACUGGGGUAGGGCUGAACAGCUGCAUUCGAGACUGGUGGAGGGUGGGCUGGGCAUGGGAUGCACAAAUGGAAAUUCCACUGGGUCUGCAGCUCACACAUAGGCAUGACCAGCAUAGAGAUAGAGAGGCCCCAGUGCUGCUGAGUAACUGUGAUUCCCCAGGUGAUGGCAUCAGCUGAGAAGGGAAGGAAGCCCAUGUGAGGACACUGAAGAAGGAGUGAGCAGACAAUAAGAAGCCCACAGAAGACAGAGAAGGAACAACUAGAGGGAGAAGCCAAGGCAGGCAUGUGUGAUAACAUAUAGGAACUGAGGGAGAGGACAUUUCAAGAUGGAGGGGAUGCCAUACAACAGGACUAUGUGAUGGUUUUUGGCUGUGUCCAUAGGAAGUCACAACAGGCAAGGGAAAGAAACCAGAACCCAGUCAUGGAGUUAAGAAGUGAGUCAGAGAGGAGAUGGGUAGGGACAGUGAGGUAAGGCCUCUUUCUAAGGAAGUUUGGCUGAAGGAUAGACUAGCUGGACACAUGCUGGCUGUGUGGGGUAGAGGGAGGAAUGAUGGAGGGUAGGAGAGCCUUGAGCCUGCGAGAAGAGUCUCCUAGAAUAGAGAAGCUGAGGUUAAAGUUGUGGAAGACAGUGGGGAUAACUGAGUGACAGAUAAUCAGGAGAAGAAAAGGAGAUCCAGAAUCAUGACAGAGAGAUGACCUUUGCCAAGAGCACAGCCAUCUUUCACUGUCACAGAGAGGUAGGACAAAACGAUUGGUGUUCAAGAAUUGGUUUGUAGCACAAUAUUUUAACUAUGUCCUUUAAAAAGUUUCUCCACAGACACUACCCAAAGCAGUCCUUCACUACAGUGGCAGACAGACCUGAAAAUUUUCAUCUGAAGCAGCAGAGUGAACUGCAGAGUCAGGUCACCAACCAGUGUGGAGGCUAAAAGCGGGCCUCUUUGGGGAUUCCAGGUGGAAGUGUUGGACAUCUGUAGUAUUCCUGGUCUCAAAUCAUCCUGAUAUUCUUCAUUUUGUUAUUCACAUUGGACUAGGGCAAGGAAAUGAGUUCUGCAGGAACAAAGAUCACCACAACUGGCUCCCCUUCAACUAUGUUAGAUGGCAACUUGCCUUCAGUAUGGUGAAACACAUCAGUUAAGACUGGGGUUGUGCAUGGCAGGACUU